UACGUAGGUGGCGAGCGUUAUCCGGAAUGAUUGGGCGUAAAGGGUGCGUAGGUGGCAGAUCAAGUCUGGAGUAAAAGGUAUGGGCUCAACCCGUACUGGCUCUGGAAACUGAUCAGCUGGAGAACAGAAGAGGACGGCGGAACUCCAUGUGUAGCGGUAAAAUGCGUAGAUAUAUGGAAGAACACCGGUGGCGAAGGCGGCCGUCUGGUCUGGAUUCUGACACUGAAGCACGAAAGCGUGGGGAGCAAAUAGG
Molecule: ribosomal RNA, 253 nt
Filed under: Holdemanella biformis DSM 3989
Lineage: Bacteria; Bacillati; Bacillota; Erysipelotrichia; Erysipelotrichales; Erysipelotrichaceae
Description: partial 16S ribosomal RNA
Rfam family: Bacterial small subunit ribosomal RNA
Source: RNAcentral